RNAcentral lists this transfer RNA (62 nucleotides) under Columbicola macrourae. RNAcentral's name for it is "tRNA-Arg". The record is from RNAcentral. Lineage: Eukaryota; Metazoa; Arthropoda; Insecta; Psocodea; Philopteridae.
UAGUAACUAGUAUAAUUAAUACAUGGGAUUUCGGCUCUCAAGAUGUUUGAAAACGUUUCUAA